GACGAACGCUGGCGGCGUGCCUAACACAUGCAAGUCGAGCGGAGAUAAUAGCAAUAUUAUCUUAGCGGCGGACGGGUGAGUAACGCGUGGGCAACCUGCCAAUCACAGGGGGAUAACACAGGGAAACUUGUGCUAAUACCGCAUAACACAUCGAGGUAGCAUUACCUUGCUGUCAAAGGAGCAAUCCGGUGAUAGAUGGGCCCGCGUCCAAUUAGCCAGUUGGUGAUGUAACGGACCACCAAGGCGACGAUUGGUAGCCGAACUGAGAGGUUGAUCGGCCACAUUGGGACUGAGACACGGCCCAGACUCCUACGGGAGGCAGCAGUGGGGAAUAUUGCACAAUGGGGGAAACCCUGAUGCAGCAACGCCGCGUGAAGGAUGAAGGUUUUCGGAUUGUAAACUUCUUUAGUCAGGGACGAAUAAAUGACGGUACCUGAAGAAUAAGCCACGGCUAACUACGUGCCAGCAGCCGCCGUAA
RNAcentral lists this ribosomal RNA (478 nucleotides) under uncultured bacterium. RNAcentral describes it as "partial 16S ribosomal RNA". It matches the Rfam family "Bacterial small subunit ribosomal RNA", at positions 28 to 523 of the family's 1533-position model. The record is from RNAcentral.